This is a long non-coding RNA of Pongo pygmaeus (Bornean orangutan), 644 nucleotides long. RefSeq lists it as uncharacterized. The transcript is spliced from 3 exons. NCBI's taxonomy places the organism in Eukaryota, Metazoa, Chordata, Mammalia, Primates, Hominidae. The record is from RefSeq and is a predicted model, not a curated record.
CCUCCUGCUACAGAGUCACUGAGAUGUUGUGCAGUUAUGACAUGCCCUCCCACCACAAAAGAACAUUCCAGCUUGUCCAGGGGAUGGUCACGGAGGCCAGUGCUCCACCGGAUCCUCAGCAGCAGGAGCCUUCUGUGGUAGGAAAAGCAUGGGCAUCGGAGGCCGAGUCCGGGGCUCCCAUCCUGAUCCAUCACUGACUAGGUGCUGUGGGGCCUUGGAGACGUGGUUUCACCAUAUUGGCCAGGCUGGUCUCAAACUCCUGACCUUGUGAUCCGCCCGCCUUGGCCUCCCAAAGUGCUGGGAUUAUAGGCAUGAGCCGCUGCACCCCGCCCAGGUUGAGGUUUUUGAAGAGCAUCACCUUUGCAGGUGAGAAACGCUGCAGGCAGGAAUCCAGCCGUCAUUCUUGACACCACCCUUAUCUAAUCCCCUGCCAACAGCUAGUUCAAGCCAGCAUCAGCUCUCUCCUGGACCACUGCCACCGCCUUCUAACAGGAUUCCCACCUCCACCUCCACUGUCAUUACCCCCGAUCUACAGCCAACUUGAGAUGAUCAUGUCACCCCCUCCAUACCCAACACAACUCCAAAAUGCAAAGAGGCUUCCUCUGUUCUUGGAUCAAGGGUUUAAACAUGACCUAGAAGGCCUC